CUACGGGGCGCAGCAGUGAGGAAUAUUGCACAAUGGGGGGAACCCUGAUGCAGCAACGCCGCGUGGAGGAUGACGCAUUUCGGUGUGUAAACUCCUUUAUAUGUCAAGAAAAUGACGGUAGCAUAUGAAUAAGCACCGGCUAACUCCGUGCCAGCAGCCGCGGUAAUACGGAGGGUGCAAGCGUUACUCGGAAUCACUGGGCGUAAAGGACGCGUAGGCGGGUUGGAAAGUCAGGUGUGAAAUCCUACAGCUUAACUGUAGAGCUGCACUUGAAACUUCUAAUCUAGAGUAUGGGAGGGGGAGAUGGAAUUAGUGGUGUAGGGGUAAAAUCCGUAGAUAUCACUAGGAAUACCUAAAGCGAAGGCGAUCUCCUGGAACAUUACUGACGCUAAGGCGUGAAAGCGUGGGGAGCAAACAGGAUUAGAUACCCUCGUAGUC
Molecule: ribosomal RNA, 438 nt
Filed under: uncultured bacterium
Lineage: Bacteria
Description: partial 16S ribosomal RNA
Rfam family: Bacterial small subunit ribosomal RNA
Source: RNAcentral